Molecule: ribosomal RNA, 497 nt
Filed under: uncultured bacterium
Lineage: Bacteria
Description: partial 16S ribosomal RNA
Rfam family: Bacterial small subunit ribosomal RNA
Source: RNAcentral
GACGAACGCUGGCGGCGUGCCUAAUACAUGCAAGUUGAGCGCUGAAGGUUGGUACUUGUACCAACUGGAUGAGCAGCGAACGGGUGAGUAACGCGUGGUGAAUCUGCCUUUGAGCGGGGGACAACAUUUGGAAACGAAUGCUAAUACCGCAUAAAAACUUUAAACACAAGUUUUAAGUUUGAAAGAUGCAAUUGCAUCACUCAAAGAUGAUCCCGCGUUGUAUUAGCUAGUUGGUGAGGUAAAGGCUCACCAAGGCGAUGAUACAUAGCCGACCUGAGAGGGUGAUCGGCCACAUUGGGACUGAGACACGGCCCAAACUCCUACGGGAGGCAGCAGUAGGGAAUCUUCGGCAAUGGACGAAAGUCUGACCGAGCAACGCCGCGUGAGUGAAGAAGGGUUUCGGAUCGUAAAACUCUGUUGGUAGAGAAGAACGUUGGUGAGAGUGGAAAGCUCAUCAAGUGACGGUAACUACCCAGAAAGGGACGGCUAACUACGUG